RNAcentral lists this microRNA precursor (94 nucleotides) under Erinaceus europaeus (western European hedgehog). RNAcentral's name for it is "miRNA (ENSEEUG00000019503.1)". Lineage: Eukaryota; Metazoa; Chordata; Mammalia; Eulipotyphla; Erinaceidae. The record is from RNAcentral.
AGCACUCCACCACUGUGUCUGAUACCUUGGGUGAGGGCACCAUGUUGAAAGUGUUCAUGAUCCUCUUUGGGUACUUCUCCCAGAUUUUGCUGAU